AUUGAUUAUAUUGUAAGUUCCUUCUAAAUUUAAUAAUUUGUUCACUAUCUUUUUAAUUUCUUGUGAUUAUCUUCCAAAUUCCAUGCUUCUGAUUCGAUUUCAUUAUAACUGUUAUUCUAAAACCCCAUCCUUUCUUCUUCAACUUUUACAUUCUGUCUUUAAUUUGGAAUAUCGCAGUUGAUACGUAUAAUCAAUCGAUCGAUCGAUCAGUCGAAGAAUCAUCAGAUGAUCAUCGACGGAAGGAGAAAUGUGGCAGAUAGUUGCAUUAAAAUUUUAAUACUGAUUACAAUGUUUAUCUUGAUGACUAGCGGGUGUAUUUCUUUGUGGUCUUUUCUUGAAAAUUUGAUGAAGGCCAGACCUGUUGCACCUUCGCCUGAUCAUUAGUAAUAGGAAGAAUUCUGUAAUGCUAAUACUAUCUUGAGUGAGUUUCUUGGAAGUUUGAAUGAAAUAUUGUUAAUUUUGUUCUUCAUUAUCAUUUUCAUAAUGCUUUUAAUAUGAACGAUAUACCAAUUCUUUUCUA
This 520-nucleotide long non-coding RNA is filed under the name Zostera marina. Its description in RNAcentral is "long non-coding RNA (ZMAR_LNC001959)". The record is from RNAcentral. Lineage: Eukaryota; Viridiplantae; Streptophyta; Magnoliopsida; Alismatales; Zosteraceae.